GAUGAACGCUGGCGGCGUGCUUAACACAUGCAAGUCGAACGGUGAAGCAGAGCUUGCUCUGUGGAUCAGUGGCGAACGGGUGAGUAACACGUGAGCAACCUGCCCCUGACUCUGGGAUAAGCGCUGGAAACGGCGUCUAAUACUGGAUAUGAGCUGCGACCGCAUGGUCAGCAGUUGGAAAGAUUUUUCGGUCUGGGAUGGGCUCACGGCCUAUCAGCUUGUUGGUGAGGUAAUGGCUCACCAAGGCGUCGACGGGUAGCCGGCCUGAGAGGGUGACCGGCCACACUGGGACUGAGACACGGCCCAGACUCCCACGGGAGGCAGCAGUGGGGAAUAUUGCACAAUGGGCGAAAGCCUGAUGCAGCAACGCCGCGUGAGGGAUGACGGCCUUCGGGUUGUAAACCUCUUUUAGCAGGGAAGAAGCGAAAGUGACGGUACCUGCAGAAAAAGCGCCGGCUAACUACGUG
Molecule: ribosomal RNA, 467 nt
Filed under: uncultured bacterium
Lineage: Bacteria
Description: partial 16S ribosomal RNA
Rfam family: Bacterial small subunit ribosomal RNA
Source: RNAcentral